This is a long non-coding RNA of Phyllopteryx taeniolatus (common seadragon), 561 nucleotides long. RefSeq lists it as uncharacterized. The record is from RefSeq and is a predicted model, not a curated record. Lineage: Eukaryota; Metazoa; Chordata; Actinopteri; Syngnathiformes; Syngnathidae. The transcript is spliced from 3 exons.
AGCCCGAGGAGCUGAAGGGAUAUUUAUAGGAAAACCGAAGUUGGAAAGGAGCCAUCGCUGGAUGUAGUGACUGUGGCAGAAUGAAUGGUAUAAGGUUGAUCCAACACAGCGUGGCAGAUAAUGAGAGCUAGCUGGCUAGCCUGCCAGGAGGCAACUGGUCCCAGGCAGCGAGGAUUUACGGCACCGACACAGGUCUAAACCAACCCAGGUUCUACAUUUGGCAAUUGUACAGCGAGGGAGCCUGGUUAAAAUAGACUGGGUGAAGAUCCAGAGCCACUUUCAUGUGACAGCAUUGCCUGAAGCACUAUCAAGAAGAAAAAGCCACAUUCCCCACAUGUGAGACUCCCCCUGCAAUCAAGUCAAAGCCAAAAGGUGCUGGGCUUUUGCAAGUAGAGGCUACUCUCGUCACAUUGCUGAGGCUCCGCCCCUGGUCAGCAUAGUAAUGAAAGGUGGACUCGCCAUUGGCCGAGCAGUGUAUGGCGCGGGAUGCGGUCUGUCUCAUUUGCAUGCAGGAAUUAAGGCGGAACCUUUAAGUGAAACCUUGGUCCACGUGUAAUUUAA